RNAcentral lists this ribosomal RNA (468 nucleotides) under uncultured bacterium. Its description in RNAcentral is "partial 16S ribosomal RNA". It matches the Rfam family "Bacterial small subunit ribosomal RNA", at positions 28 to 507 of the family's 1533-position model. The record is from RNAcentral.
GAUGAACGCUGGCGGCGUGCCUAAUACAUGCAAGUCGAACGGACAGGCGAUGAUCUUGCGUCUUGCUCGUGUGCCGAAGGCGUGAGUAAAACGCGUGUAUACUGUACCUGUCUUUCGGAUAUCUUUUCGAGACACGGGAUCAUAUAGGAUAGGAGCUCUUGAAGCAUGGUGGGCGAUGGUAAGUUACGGUGGUUCGGGAACGAAUAGCGGCUUACCGGCUUGAUGGUGGGGUAGUGGCUUACCAAGGCUUUGACGGGUAGGCGGCCUGAGAGGGUGGCCGGCCACAUUGGGACUGAGAUACGGCCCAGACUCCUACGGGAGGCAGCAGUGGGGAAUAUUGCACAAUGAGCGGAAGCCUGUUGCAGCAGCGCCGCGUUCGUGAUGACGGCCUUCGGGUUGUAAACCGCUUUCGCCUGUAACGAGGCGUGAGUGACGGUAAUGGGUAAAAAAGCACCGGCUAACUACGUG